GUGGGGAAUAUUGGACAAUGGGCGCAAGCCUGAUCCAGCCAUGCCGCGUGUGUGAAGAAGGCCUUCGGGUUGUAAAGCACUUUCAGCGAGGAGGAAGGGAUGUAUGUUAAUAGCAUGCAUUUUUGACGUUACUCGCAGAAGAAGCACCGGCUAACUCUGUGCCAGCAGCCGCGGUAAUACAGAGGGUGCAAGCGUUAAUCGGAAUUACUGGGCGUAAAGCGCACGUAGGCGGUUUUUUAAGUCAGAUGUGAAAGCCCCGGGCUCAACCUGGGAAUUGCAUUUGAAACUGGGGAACUAGAGUGUGUGAGAGGGGGGUAGAAUUCCAAGUGUAGCGGUGAAAUGCGUAGAGAUUUGGAGGAAUACCAGUGGCGAAGGCGGCCCCCUGGCACAACACUGACGCUCAGGUGCGAAAGCGUGGGGAGCAAACAGGAUUAGAAACCCUUGUAGUCC
RNAcentral lists this ribosomal RNA (450 nucleotides) under uncultured bacterium. Its description in RNAcentral is "bacterial SSU rRNA". It matches the Rfam family "Bacterial small subunit ribosomal RNA", at positions 354 to 796 of the family's 1533-position model. The record is from RNAcentral.